Molecule: long non-coding RNA, 1898 nt
Organism: Oncorhynchus nerka (sockeye salmon)
Lineage: Eukaryota; Metazoa; Chordata; Actinopteri; Salmoniformes; Salmonidae
Exons: 4
Source: RefSeq, a predicted model, not a curated record
GAUAAAUUACAAUUGCUGCAGAGAACAAACACCCAACUGAGUGGAAAACGUGGUUACAAUUUACAAAUCUAUUUAUCAUCACUUUCAACGACUAAGAUCCCUUGAAGCUGUCCUCAGACAACCCUCAACCAUCAUCACCUCUGGAUGUUCUACCACCACCAGACCUGCAGUAAUUCAGCUGACCUCUCCCUCUCCAGCACACAACUAAGAUCUGCAGCUUCUGGUGAACCGUCUAAGAGGAAGACAAUUAACAAAGUCAGAUAUGGCAACUGCUGGAGACAGACGUAGCAAGGAAAUUGGCCGUGAUACAUCACCUUGUCUCCAACACAGUCAAGUUGCUACUCCUCUGGAUAUCCCAUUGUUCCUCCACUGGACCUAAUUAAACACUGUGAGUAUGAAAUUAUUUUCACGGGUGUAGCUGUAGGAAAUGUAAACUGUUCUGUUCUAAUGUUGCAUUAAUAUAGAACUAUUCCUGAAAAUACUGUAUAUGUAAAAGUGUGUUUCUACGUCAUAUAUUGUUUCAAGCCACUCCUUGCAACAAAUCUGAUGUGAGAUUCAUGUGAGAUGUAUUAUAUUUUGUAGGUUAGUAUAAUGAGUCAGGUUUUGUUCCUCAAGAAUCAAGAGGGUAUAUCAUUAAUUGAAAAGACAUUUGAACAGCAGUAAAUAUAGCAGAUUGUAACUAACAUAACACUUGGCCUCCAGUUCUCCUUACUGUACCUCCCUAAAGCUGAAGUGUGCAGUAGUUGAUGAAGAAUUCCCCAUGGAAUACACAAUUAAUGAUUGAUGAUCGAAUACUGAGGAAGUGAAGUUGUACUGAUAACAAUUAGAAGUGUAAUUUCUCAAUGAAACCCUGUUUUGAAUCCAGUGUCUCUUAUGGGCUGCAUGUACUGUAUUUGUGCCUGUCUGGACAAUUGUUCCUAGAUGCAGUUUGUUGAAAUUUGAGGCUGUCUUGACUGCUAGCAAUAUGGCUGUAAUCAGCUUUUUAGAAUGCUUUACAUUGUACACCCUAACAGGCCUUUGAACCCUGUUACACCUGAACAAAUUAUAGUGCGCCCACUUAAUACUGUAAUAAACUGUACUGCAGUUUGAGGGGUAAGUGUGGGUUGUAGGAGGACGGGUUACUUGGACUUACAGUCAGUGAACCAUCAUUUAAUUAUUGAGAUUGAGUGCAAUUUUUUUUAUGCACCUUUCCCACAAUUGUUUUAAUAUCAUGAUUUUUUUGUAAUUAUUUUUUUAAUUUAACCUUUAUUUAACUAGGAAAGUCAGUUAAGAACAUUCUUAUUGACAAAGACAGCCUACUUGUAAAGUCCCCCCCCCCCCCCCCCCCCAUACAUCUUUUAUAGUGAGAACCAUGAUACUUUCAACUGUAAUGUGUGACGUAAGUGUAUCUAGUUAUUUGACUUCAACAACAUGUGCUGUGUGGCUAUGUAGGUUGAUGGAAGCUCAAUCCUACAAUUAACUAAUUCUACAUUUCUUUCCUUGGGCAAGUUUUUACCAGAAUAGUAACUGUUAAGUUGAAAUGAUUCGACUGCACCUGUAGGCAAUUUCAAACUGCCUGUCUCGACUUCCGCCGAAGUUGGCUCCCCUGCCUGUUCGGGCGGUGCUCGGCGGUCGUCGUCACCGUCCUACUAGCCGCUACCGAUGCCUUUUUCGUUUGUCUGUUGGUUUUGUCUUAGUUUAACCUGUGUGUAUUUUAGUUUAAUUAGUUUAAUUAGUUUAUAUGUAAUAGUUUGUCCCGCCCUUGUUUUGUGCGGGAUUGUUUUUUGUUACUCUGGUUGUGGUUUUCAUGUUUGUAUUCUCCGGACUGUUUGGCCCUGUGUUUGGGCUGGUCUGUUUUAUGCGCCCUGUAUGUUGGCGUGACCGUUUUUUGGCCGGAGAAUAAAUCACGAUUUACUGAA